RNAcentral lists this ribosomal RNA (353 nucleotides) under uncultured fungus. Its description in RNAcentral is "eukaryotic LSU rRNA". The record is from RNAcentral. Lineage: Eukaryota; Fungi.
AACGCACCUUGCACCUUCUGGUAUUCCGGAAGGUACACCUGUUUUGAGUGUCAUUAAAUUCUCAACCAUUCAGCUUUUUCGGAGGCUUGUCUGGCUUGGAUGUGAGGGUUGCGGGCUGCUUCACGGCGGUCGGCUCCCUUUAAAUACAUUUGCUGGGGAAUAGUACAUGGUUCAAGUGCUUCGAUGCUUGAAGGUCUCCUGGUGUGAUAAUUAUCUACGCCGUUGACUUAGUCGUUGCUUGUAUUGGCCGUAGAAUUUCUCUGCUUCUAACUGUCUCGCAAGGGACUAGUCCGCUCUAGGGCUAUAAUGACUAUUGUGACCUCAAAUCAGGUGGGACUACCCGCUGAACUUAA